CCUACGGGUGGCAGCAGUGAGGAAUAUUGGUCAAUGGACGGAAGUCUGAACCAGCCAUGCCGCGUGCAGGAAGACGGCUCUAUGAGUUGUAAACUGCUUUUGUACAAGGGUAGAACUGAAUACGUGUAUUCAGCUGAAAGUACUGUACGAAUAAGGCUCGGCUAACUCCGUGCCAGCAGCCGCGGUAAUACGGAGGAUCCAAGCGUUAUCCGGAUUUAUUGGGUGUAAAGGGUGCGUAGGCGGAGUGAUAAGUUAGAGGUGAAAUGUCCGGGCUUAACUCGGGAACUGCCUUUGAUACUGUUGAUCGAGAGAGUAGAUGCGGUAGGCGGAAUGUAUGGUGUAGCGGUGAAAUGCGUAGAGAUCAGACAGAACACCGAUGGCGAAGGCGGCUUACCAAUCUAUAACUGACGUUGAGGCACGAAAGCGUGGGGAGCAAACAGGAUUAGAUACCCUAGUAGUC
RNAcentral lists this ribosomal RNA (460 nucleotides) under uncultured bacterium. RNAcentral describes it as "partial 16S ribosomal RNA". It matches the Rfam family "Bacterial small subunit ribosomal RNA", at positions 338 to 795 of the family's 1533-position model. The record is from RNAcentral.